Molecule: long non-coding RNA, 1179 nt
Organism: Girardinichthys multiradiatus
Lineage: Eukaryota; Metazoa; Chordata; Actinopteri; Cyprinodontiformes; Goodeidae
Exons: 3
Source: RefSeq, a predicted model, not a curated record
CUGACGUCUGUUUACCACUGUUUGGCAACGCGGUCUGCGCCUGCGUUCAACGGCAUUCUGGGUAACGGAGUUCCCCAUGUGUCAGACAGCCGUGGCAUAAACAGCAGCUCGAAGAGGCAACAUGUACCUGCAUUAUAUUCUGUCACUCACGAUUGAAGAGCACCUAUGAUAAAAAUUGAAGACUUCUACAUGCUUUGCAAGUGGGAAAACCUGCUAAAUUGGUAAUGUAUCAAAUGCUUGUUCUCCCCACUGUAACUAAAGAUUGGUGUUCAAAGUUUAGUGGUUUUCAUUUCCUUCUUUAGUGUUUAAUUUAACAACAAACUUAACUGUACUGUUUUCUUGAAGUUAAUGUUUGUAUUGUUCAGUUACCCCUAUUGUGUUUUAGUUCGAGUGAAAAGGCCUAUGAUUGAUGGGUAUAAAUCCAUCAAAAGGCCAGUAAGUUGACAGAACAAAUGCAGGGCACCGUCUUCCAUGAUCAUCUGUUUGGUACUUUGUUGUCUGGGUCUUUAAAUAACUGUAAAGUACUCCACUAUUGUAAACUAGGAAGUAGUAUCUGUAUUGUAGCUCUAUGCCUAAUCUACCGGCAUCUGUUUGUGCUUCAACCGACCUGUAGCUUUGUGUGUUGUAAUCCUGAUUCAUCUUGCAUACCUGUGUGUCUUCCUGUCCAUUGAGAUGAAUAGUAACACGCCCCACCGAAACUGCCCUUAAUCUCCAUCUUUAAUGUUUGUUUUUAAACCUGCGCCGCUCCUUGUUAGCUGAGUCACGCCUGAGACGAGGCUGGUGAGAAGUUUCCUGUUUAGGACGCUCCAGUGGCUCCAGGUGUCUAGCAACCAGGUGCAGAGCCAUUUUGCCCAUUCCUGGCAUAAUAACUUGAAAGCACAUGCUAUGAUGUCAACAUAAAGCAGAACUACUAGACCCACCACAGAGUGUCGGAGGGACAGCUGAAGGAGACCUGCGAUGGGCAGAUGAAUUAAACUGUUACUUCAACAGGUUUAGUUCUUUCUCCACUCCCUCUGCCCCCCAUCCUGCUCCCCCUCUUCUCACGUCUUCAGCCCAACAGACACUCCUCCCUUCCCCAGACUACCUUCACCUACAGCCAGCCCCUCCACACCCAUGCCUCCACCCCAUCCCAUUCGGACUGUAUGCAGCACCAGCGCCCCCUCUGCCCCCUACCCCCAG